GCUUCCGCCAGCGCCGCAGCGGGGAAUCUGCAGUAGGUUCGCUGGCGAUGUUGUGGUGGGCUAGCUCGCCGCUUCGGCUCUGGCUGCUGUUGUUCCUCCUGCCCCCAGCGCAGGGCCGCCAGAAGGAGUCAGGUUCAAAAUGGAAAGUAUUUAUUGACCAAAUUAACAGGUCUUUGGAGAAUUACGAACCAUGUUCAAGUCAAAACUGCAGCUGCUACCAUGGUGUCAUAGAAGAGGAUCUAACUCCUUUCCGAGGAGGCAUCUCCAGGAAGAUGAUGGCAGAGGUAGUCAGACGGAGGCUGGGGACCCACUAUCAGAUCACUAAGAACAGACUGUACCGGGAAAAUGACUGCAUGUUUCCCUCAAGGUAAGAGUUACGAGGUAGAUAUAUCUUCUGACUUUAUUACAUAUGGGCUUGAUACCCUUUUAUAGAGGAGCCAAUUCAUGGGACUAACAAGCAGAUCCCUCCUCACAUUUCAGGCGGACUAUGAAAUAGUGACGAGCUCUUCUCCUUGCCUGGGAAUUUUUCUUGCGAGCUCCUCUCAAAGCCUGUCUCCUCUGUGAGGCUUGGCUCAUCACUGGUUGUACUGGUGGUGGCUCUGUCUCUUCUGCUCCUUCCCUGGGAUAUAGUAGCAGCAGGACACAGGCUGAUGAGGCCUAGCAGGCCUAGCAGGAGGGAGCUGGGCUGAAGGAGGAAGAGGAAUUGGUUGAGUGUCUGUCAUGGGCCAGU
RNAcentral lists this small RNA (730 nucleotides) under Pongo abelii (Sumatran orangutan). Its description in RNAcentral is "retained intron". The record is from RNAcentral. Lineage: Eukaryota; Metazoa; Chordata; Mammalia; Primates; Hominidae.